GUAUUCAGCCUUGAGAGGCUAGAUUGAGAUAAAUUUCCAUGUCAUGCAGAUAAAGAUUUUAUAAAUCAGGUGGUACAUAAAAUAAUCCAUAAUCUCUACAGUGGAGGUUCUGUGGACCAGCCUAAGAGAGGGGGCACAGAAUCAGAUAUACCUUACCUCGAUCGGAGAGCUGUGUGGAGGGUUCCUCUGGAGGUAAAGAUUUGAGUGCACUUCACGUGGACCACCGCGUGAGAGUGAGACUCAGCCAACGUCAAGGCAUGGCUAGAAUUUCGGAUGUAAAGAUAUUUAAUAGCCUUGGUGAUCUCGGUCAGAUGCCUAGGCCAAGACAUCCCCGGGAAUGAUUUUGGCAAGAGCCAAGUUUUGUGAGAUAUAUAAGCCAUGUUGAUUAAUUGAGUAAACUGAAUAUUCAUGUUAUGAAAAUAUUGGAAAAGAAUAUUUUAAUUCGUCUCCAUUUACUCGUCUUUAGAUGGUUUAGAUGGUGUCUGUUUACUCACUGGGAUUUUAUAAUCUCACCACCCUCAUUUUCUCAUAUUUCAGGCUCAGGGAAUUCCAUAGUUAGCUGACAUUGACAAGGACUUUCAUUUGGACUUAAAUCAGCAAAAGCUGUAGGUUUUCAGCUUCCGAUGCAUUUUGGUCAGUUGGGGGCCCACGUGUCACUGUAAAAGUAAUUUUAUACUUAAGUUAUCUGAUUUAAAGUAUGUAUGAACAUAUUUAGCUUUUACACCAUGUUUUUGAGGAGUUUCGGUAUUUUUUUAAAAAAAAGGACGAAAAUGCCCCUGUGAGCCAAAAAAUAAUAUUUUAUUGUUUUGAUUUGGAAACGACUUAUGAUUUCUUGAAAUAAGAGAUUUAAUAAUUGUCGCUCACCGGGGAGAUGCGAAAGCUGAUGCUAAGCCUUGCGGGGUUCCAAUCGACAUUCGGGGUAAUGAGUGCCUAUCGGGACGUCGCGACGGUUGUCAUGGGCCCGAUGAGAGUUUUGGGUCGUGACAAUUAAAGUGGUAUCAGAGCAUGGUUUAAAGAUCAAAGAUUUUGGUUUUAAAGCUUUGGAUUUUAAAGUUUUUUGUUUUAAAGUUGUUUUAAGAAAUCAACACUAACACUGCGUGGCCCCGGAUUAAGUUACGUUAAGUCAAAUAGAAUGCAUGAGUUUGCAUAUAGAGACCUAUUUAUUUUCAGGUUAUAUAAGAGAUUAAGUAAUUGUCGUUAGACAAUCUCUCCCAGACUGUGGGAGUAAUGUAAGUAAAUGGCAAGAGAAGAAAAAAGGAAAACUUGAAACGAACUCGAAAAAGGAUCAAGAUGAUAAUGAUCCUAAAGAUGUUUAGUGCCUUGUUGAAGCUUGUAAUACUAUAAUCCUAGACAGAUGUAGUAUAAGAAGGAUAAUAAUCCCCUGUAUAAAAGGCUUAAGAAUUGACUUUUGUCUUGUAUAAUAUAAACGGAUGAUGGAGUAGUUGUUUAAAUGACAGAAGGAGUAUAAAAAUCUUUUAGUAUGACAAAGGUAGAUUAGUAAUAUAAGUAUCGAUGAUGAAUAAUUAUCUUAGUGGCAAGAUCGAUUUUUUAAAUAAGUACUGAAGGUUGAAAUAGGAAGCCAUUAAUGGUUCCAACAAUUAUUAGAUUUAAUAACGAUUAAACCUUGCAGUACUAUGAAUUGAUCACCAGUUAACGGGGUUAAGUUAAGGAUUAUAAAUUUGAAUAUAGAGGGAAUUAGAAGGUGAUACCGUAAAAUUUUAAGGUGAGAAAUAUAAUCGAUUGCGACUAUGAAAAUACUGGGAUACUAUAAAUAAUGAAUCAUUAGGCUUGUGAUGAAGUUAUGAUCUAUUAAACCAUAUGGGAAGACUGUCCUAAGGUGGGACAUAGGACAUGAGGAUUUUUUGAUAUGCUUAUAGAGGGAGAUAUCAAUUGUAAAGUAUGUUUUCCCCCACAAGUUUUAAUUUAUUCAAGAAAUUAUCAUGGUAAAGAUAUGUCACGACCUGGAACUCCCAUCGGGCCCAUGACAAUCGCCGCGACGUCUCGAUAGGCACUCAUUACCCCGAAUGCCAAUCAAAACCUCGCAAGGCUUAGCAUCAGCUUCCACAUCUCCCCGGUGAGUGACAGUUAUUAAAUCUCACAUUUCAAAAAAAUCAUAAGUCGUUUUCAAAUCAAAAUAAUAAAAUAUUAUUUUUUUUGGCUCACAGGGGCAUUUUCGUAAGUUUUCUUCAAAAAUACCGAAACCCGUCAAAAACAUGGUGUAAAAGAUAAAUAUGUUCAUACAUACUUUAAAUCAGAUAACUGAAGUAUAAAAUUACUUUUACAGUGACACGUGGGCCCCCAAUUGACCAAGAAAGUGUAGGGCUACGAACCCUUACUUUCUAGGAUGAAACACCGAGAUUAAUUCUCGUCUUAAUCAACUAUCAACAAACUAUCUUGAGCCUGAAAAUGAAUAGAAAGAGGGGUGAGAUUAUGAUUACAUAAUCCCAGUGAGUAAACAAACACCAUCUAAACUAUCUAAAGGCGAGUAAAUGGAGACAAGUAAGAUAUUCCAUUUCAGUAUGUUUUUCAUAACAUCAGUAAUCAAUUUACUCAAAUAAUCAACUUGGCUUAUGUAUUUCACAAAACUUGACUCCUGCCAAAAUCAUUCUUGCGGGUACCUUCGUCAAGGUAUCCCACUGAGACCGCCAAGGCUGUUAAAUGUCUCAUACCCAUAAACAUGUUUUCGCAUCUGACACACAGUCGUUCUUUGACGUUGGCUGAGUCUCACUCUCACGCAGUGGUUAACGUGAAGUGCACUCAAAAAGCCCACCUCGGGAGAUACCCUACGCGUCUCUACGAUCGAGGUGAGAAUAUAAAGGAGUUUACCGUGCCCCUCUAAUAGGCUGGUCCACGGAACCCCCCACCAUUGUAGUAGCUAAUCUUUAAUCCACCAAUUGAUCAAAUCUCAAUGGCAUAGAAUGGCAAUUACAUUGCUAACAAAUUUAUCAAGGCAAAACAGACAGUUCAUAUUUUUCAACACAAGUAUAAAUUCAGCCAAUCAUGCCAAUUUAUCACAAGCCAUCUAAUUCAAAUCAUAAUUUUACAACACAAGUAGGCAGUCUCCAAUUAAUCUAUUUUCAAAACCAGUAUUCGAUUUUCCAAAAAAUUUAUAAAAUCAGUUUAUAAAAUCACAAUUUCUCCUAAAACAUAGAAAUUUACCAUUUAAACCCAUUUUCCAUAAAAUCACACAAUUGUAUAAAACUACUCUAGAUAAUUAAGACGAUAAUAAGUUCACUCACAGUAUUAGGAGUAGAAAUACUCCUAUUUUCAGUUUGCGGGUACAGUCUUUUAUCCAUAUCCAAUGGCUCACCACUUAGCCAUAAUCCAUGACACAUAUUCCAAUUAAAUUGUGUCUAACAGUCAUAAGCUAUUUCAGGCUCAAUAUAUAUGCAUGUUAUGAAAUGAAAAAUGCACGGGUAGCCAUCUAGACUCAAUAUUGGCCUAAGUCGAUUUUUCAUCUGAUAAAUUGGCCAAUGCGUCCAAUUUCACUCCAACUUUCUCCAUUUCUUUUCCAAUCCCUCAAUUCACCAAGCACAACUAAUUAACACACAAUUAGGCAAAUUUAUCUUCACUUUUCUUCUUGGAACUUUCGGCCAUUGAAGGUUCAUGGGGAAAAUGGAUUCUUUUCUUGUUGUUUUGUUUCUAAACAUGUUUAACUAACUCUAAACACCAACAUAACUCAAAAUCAAACAAUUCCAACAUCUUUCUCUCUCCAUACCCAUUUUGACCAGCCAUAAUUUCAUCAUGAAAACAUGUAAUUUAACCAUGGAAAUUAAAGAAAAAUGCAUGGGUAAGGUAAAUCACUAGCAAAAUCAAAGAAAUUUUACCUUUGCUUGAUCAAAUCCUUGAAUUCCAACACUUUCUCUUUGAUUUUUCCCACCUAGGGUUUGUUCUUCCUUGGUUUCUCUUCUCUUCUGGUUUGGCUGAUCACUAUGGGAGAAAUGGGCUGAUUUUUUGCCUUUUUAUAAAGAAAUAAUAAAAUAAAAACAACAUGACACAUGGCAUUUCCUUAUUGGCUCAAAUUUUAAAUAUUUGACUUUUAAUUCUUUAAUUCUCCACCACACAUUUCUCAUGUUUAUCCAUUUCCAUGAUGAAUAAAAUUUCUUGGUCUUGACAAGUGUCAAGGGUGAAAAUUUACCGAUUUGCCCCCAAGGUGGCAAAAUUACUAUUUCACCCCUAUACUCCAAAUUAUACCAAAAUUAAAAUUUUUCACUUCUAAACUUCAAAUCAUACUCCAAUAAGUAAAAUGGAGCCAAAAAAUCUUUUCUAAAAAUUCCCAUUUUGUCCCCAAGUGGUAAAUGACCAUUUUGCCCCUAGAUAGUGAAAAUUUUGAUUUGACUCCAAAUUGAUCCUCGAACUCCGAAUUACCAUUUUGAGUCAUCCCUGAACUGUCAAAAUCUUAAUUUCACCUUAAAAUUCCUAUUUGAACUAGUUCAAGGCUUAAUCGACUUAAUGGUACCAUUAGGGGCAAUAUCGUCUUUUAACGAUUCCUCGAACUUCCUAAAUAUGCAAACAUUCUAUUGAGCAUGUAAAUGACAUCAUAAUUAUUUUAUAGAACAGGGUUUGACAAGAUAUGUGAAUAUUGGUAGUGAAAUAUGCCCUAAGAGAUAACUGUGGCAUAUCACAUAGAUAAUUUAAAUAUGUUGGGGUCAGUGUCACGAUCAUGCAUCCGUGAUAGAGAAUUUACUUUGCUAAUUGUGGUAUAGACUCAAAAAGGAGUCAAGCCGUCAAGAACGACUAAGGUAGUAACUCCAAAAGUAAAAGAUUUGUUUUAAUUAAGUAGAUUUCAACGGCUACAUUGAAAUAAAUUAUCUUGUGGAGUAUUAAGAUCAAUAAUGUAUUGAUCAAAGUCAAAUCUUAAGAAAUAAAGAGGAUGAGAGAUUAAUGAGAAAGGACAUCAAUGUUAAGUAACGAAUUUGUGAAUAAAGGAUUACGAUGGUGGCAUAGAAAAUGAGUAUUAUAAAGGAUUACUGUGAGGAUUUAUAAUUCUUGUAUUAACUCAGUUGAAUGAAAAGUAAUUAAAUGAAGCAACUCUUGUGGUAAACAGCAAAAUAGUGAAGUUGACGUAGAGUCUUGUUUAUAGUCAGUGACUGCAGCACCAAUUAUAAAUAGGAGGCUGCGUAGACUCUUUAUCUUGGGAAACUACCUAGUGAAAUCCUAAAUGACAUAAAGACUCAUGAUUGAGAGGAUUAUUGCUGAUCAAAUUCUAAAGGGUAAUAAUAGAUAUAAGUGAAGUAUUCAAGUUGAGUUGGAAAUAAAUACGAGGAGCAACUCAAGAUUCCCUAUAAAGGAGAUAAUAGGAGAAGUUGAGCAUCGAAUAAAAGAUAAUACCCCGCCUUUUCUUUGAGUUUGAUAAGUGAAAUUUUGAUGACAAAAUUUUAUUUUAAGGGGGAUAGUGUUGUCAAACCCUGUUCUAUAAAAUAAUUACGACGUCAUUUACAUGCAUAAUAGAAUGUUUUCAUAUUUAGAAAGUUCAAGAAAUCGUUAAAAGAUUGUGCUUGAAGACUGGGAUUAGGAGUACAUCGACUCCUAGAACUGUGAGUAAACUUAUUAUCGUCUUAAUUAUCUAGAGUAGUUUUACACAAUUGUGUGAUUUUAUAGAAAAUAGGUUUAAAUGGUAAAUUGCUAUGUUUUAGGAGAAAUUGUGAUUUUAUAAAGUGAUUUUAUAAAUUUUCUGAAAAAUUGAAUACUGGUUUCGAAAAUAAAGUAAUUGGAGACUGCCCGCUUGUGUUAUAAAUUGUGUAUUAAAUUAUAUGGCUUAUAGCAAUAUGUGAGCAUGAAUGGCAAAGUUGGUAUUUGUAUCAAAAUUAUAUAUAUACUAUGUAUUCAGCCUUGAGAGACUAGAUUGCGAUAAAUUGUCAUGUCAUGCAGAUAAAGAUUUUAUAAAUCAAGUGGUAGAUAAAAUAAUCCAUAAUCCCUGCAGUGGAGGUUUUGUGGAUCAGCCUAAGAGAGGGGGCACAGAAUCAGAUAUACCUUACCUCGAUCGGAGAGUCGUGUGGAGGGUUUCUUUGGAGGUAAAGAUUUGAGUGCACUUCACGUGGACCACCGCGUGAGAGUGAGACUCAGCCAACACCAAGGCAUGGCUAGAAUUUC
This 6093-nucleotide long non-coding RNA is filed under the name Theobroma cacao (cacao). Its description in RNAcentral is "long non-coding RNA (TCAC_LNC005868)". The record is from RNAcentral. Lineage: Eukaryota; Viridiplantae; Streptophyta; Magnoliopsida; Malvales; Malvaceae.